ACUAAGCCAUGCUUUCAUUGUAGCACACCAAAUAAAAGGCUGUAGGUUUGCUGAGUGCAUUUAGAGAAAGUUACCUACAAAGUCAGCCAGGAGGGCACUUCUACAAAGAGAUGGGCUUUUGGAAACGUAGGAACAAUGAAUCAGACGGCCAGCUUCAAGCGGCACCUGUUAUGGAGCAGAAGGACCAGGGUGGAGGAUUGGAAGGAACAAAGGCCGAGCAUUAUGCUGCCGUUGUAAAGAGCAGACCAGAGAACUUCAACAAUUCCAAGUUCUGAUUGGUCAGACCACAGCACAGGUUUCCAGUCCACCUUAACAAGCUUAAGGAAGCCAGCAGUUUUUCUGGAUCGUGUCUAAGUACAUUUUUCUUUUUGUGAGGAUUUAACUUACAAUGAACUGUCUUCACUGACUAUGGUGUUCCUGAGCACACAAUCAUUUCUAUGCAUAAUUAUAACCGUGUCCUGUUUGGUUUUUUAAUUCAGUGCUGACUGAACACCCAACAACAUGCUCGAUCACUCAGUGCAGACUUUCAGAUUGAAUUCAAGGGCUUAAAAACGUGUAUUUACUGGCUCAUCAGAGGAAACGGGUGGCAGCUGUCAGGGGGAAGGACAACAGGACACGCCCACACACAACACCUGCUGGAGGAACAGCGCGCAUGUUAAAUUAUUUACUAUUUCAUUCUGUUUGUACAAACCUGUUUGGUAUUUAAUGACUAAAGUUGAACACAUUAACACUAUAAAUGACAUUAUUUAUUAUAUUUUUUGUUAGAAUUAUUUUUAUAUUUGAUCAUAUACAGAUUUAAUCGUGGGGAAAAGACUGGCACAAGAUGAGUGUAAACCCAAAGAUUUGAAAGUACCAGAAACCUGAAUUUUCUGGUCAGCUGGGGUUAAUCUUUAUAAUCUCACAGGUCAUAGUGUUAAUCUGAGCAGUGUUAACAUUAUAAGAUCUGCUGAAACAAAGGGACUAAACAGACAUGUCACAUUUUUGGAUUGCAUGGUUUUCAGUGAGUUAAAUCGGUCAUUAACCAUAAAAAGCAGAAGGUUUUAUUGGACAAAUGUAAAACAAUUCAUGAAGUUUUUGGCUCUGAAAGACAUAAAAAUGAAUCACGCUUAACUAAUACAUGUUAACUAUCAACUCAUAGCAUGUAGUCAUCAUUUUAAGAAAUAUUCAUUUUCGUUUUUUACAAUGCAGCAAAAAACAAAAAUACAAAUCCGCGUGUCUUAUGAUUAAUAUCUGUAUGUCCUGCAUCGCCGUGUGCUUUAUCUGUUUCCUUUGUCUGUUGUGAAGACAGUUCAGACUUUAAGUCCUGCUGACCCUUCAGUUUCAUUUAUAAAUGUUUUGUGUGGUAAAUGAGCCUCAGGUCACACAAAAAACAACUGCCUGAGUUAACCGUUAAUUACAAUAUGAAACGAGUCGGUAUAAAACUUUUAUUAACACAUUCACAAACAACAAGCUUAUUUCAUCAUCUGUAUGUGUAUAAACACUCUCGCAACCUUUUAGAGUGAGCUGAUAGUAAAAAGGACAAUUGUCCAGCCAUGAACCAGCUUUACAGCAUGACUCUGAAGUAGGCUGUUUCUAAUUUUAGUGAUAUUGUGGAACUGAAUCAAGUCACACAAAUGUAUCUGUGUAAUGUGCACGCUGAAGGACAUAUCCUGGUCUAAAAUGACUCCAGGAUUUCUCACAGUGUUAGUGGAGGCCUCCCAUCCAGAGCAAGUGUGUACUUGGAUAUCAGGUUUCACUAAUAAACAUAAAUAAUCAUUUUCUUUCAUAUUCUGCUUUUAACAGUCGUAAUUCAGUCACAUGGUCAGUCCACCUACCUCUUUCAUUAGAACACAUAAAAACUAACAGAUCUAGCAUCUUCCUCAACAUAAGCUGUAAAUGUUGAAAUAAUGUGUGUUAAGAACUGGGAGAUGGUUAAUGUGCCUGAUCUCGAACCACAUCCCUGUGCUGGUGGAUCUCUAGAGCUAUGGAACUUAAACAGAAGUAGGUUUUGCACUCCAGAAACCUGGUGACAGAGGCGUCCUCAGGGACAGCAUUAUAUGCUGUAUGAAUGAGAAUUGGGAAAUCAUGCAAACGUGCUGACUUUAGAGGGGAGAAAACAGAGGGCUGACAUGUUCACAGGAAAUCUGAACUGUUUUUAAAUCACAUCUAAAGAUGUGUGUUUACUUUCAACCCACCAGAACUACUGAGUAGGCCUGCAGAGCAGUCUGCAGGGCAUUCACCGCUGAAUGAUUUAAACUGCAAGCUGUCUGAAGUUCGCAGUUUCAGACAGCUGAAACUCAAAGUUGUGCUGCACACAGAUGUCAGCGCAGCAGGAUGUAUCCACCUUCUGUGAAAACAUAGAUGCUCUGAUAUACAAAGCAUGCUGUACUGCGCCUAAAUUAAGACCAAAAUAAUGAAACAAAGAGCUCGACUCAUAUUCUGCAUCUGUGGUGAACAAACUGAAACUAAAGAGGAAUUUCUCAGAAACCACCACGAGCCACAGGAAGUAGCUGCUUUUCACACAUUGAAUACUUGAGUCCUAAGAAGCUCAGAUUUUUGUCUCUGAUGCUGAUGUGAGUAGAAAAAUUGAUUGUUGUUCUAAAGUUCUGACUAUUAAUCCAAAGUGUUGUCAUGCAUCCACAACUUUCGACAUGCCUGUGAGGACACUUCUGCCAGGGUUUGGGUAGUCAUCAAAUUUAAAUUGUUUCAAAACAUGAAGGAUGGAGGAGCUUUUCACCAUUCCAGCUUUUAGGGAAUAAGGUUACAAAUAUCUAAUCUGGCCGUGCAGUUUAUUAGUUCUGGUUAUGAUAACAGCACAAAGCAUUUUCUGUUAGAUUGAUUCUCACACAGGAUGUGAAAUGUGCUGAUAUGACUCACAGGUGAGAAACCGUCUUUUCUCUGUGCUUGUGUGAAACGUAAAGUCUGACUGAAUACAAAAACAGCACAGGCGUUGACUUUUAAAGCUCAUGAAGAAAUCACAACAACUUUUACUGUAGGUGGACGCCACACUCACAUGCCUCCAACACUGCCUCCCAUAGGCUCCCAUUUGAUUGCAAACUUACUGCAGGGGGUUAAAUUCUGUUUCUGGUUAUGGAUACAGUUUGUGGAGUCUCAGCAAAAGCUUGCACAGUGAGACAUCUGCCAGUGGUCUGACUGGUUUGGCAUCAGAGUUUAAAUGCAACAUAACAGCAAAAAUGACUAUUUAUGCCGUAGUUCACAGAAAUCUGUACCAAAUGAAGGCAAGCACAGUGCAUGAACAACAAGCUCAUCUCUGCUGAAUGCAGCUAAAACUUACCACUGCUAACUAUACAUUUGUUGCAACCCCUGACAGUAACAAAUAAAAGAAAUCUCAGAUAUGACAAUUUCCCAUCCACCAUAGGGCGAGAGGUGGGUUACACCCUGGACAUUUAACCUGUCUCCACUAACUGCAUGUCUUUGGUCUGUGGGAGGAAGCUGGAGUACCCGGAGAGAUCCCACACAGACACGGGAAGAACAUGCUCCACACAGAAAGACCCCGGCCAGGAGGUGGAGUCAGACGCAGGACCUUCUUGCUGUGAGGCAAAAGUGCUGAAUUAAGUUGUUUCUAUUAACUGUAUAUUUUUUGUAGAUGAAGGAGACGAUAAAAAGACAGAAUCACCAUCUAAUUUUCAUUUUGGGGGGACACCUGCACACAUCCAAAUAUGUAAAAUAGUCUGUCGUUACAAGAAUGUUUGCAGACCUUAACAAGCUGUUGCACCUGCCUGACUGACAGGAAGCAUUGCAGCUAUACAGGUGUUAGAUGAAACAGUGGGAAGGAUUACACAACACCUCCAAGAAGGAGAGCCAACACACAGCACAGCAAAGGAUGUUGGCUGUUCCCCGACAGCUGUAACUGGAGUAAGUGCAAACAAUAUGAGAAGGUCAUAAAAGGAAAACAUACACGCAGGUCUCAGAGCAAUAGGACAGAAAACUCAAAGCAUGCUUACACUUUGAAAAUGGAAAACAAACAAAAGGUUUUGUGUCUCUGUGGUUUGUUUAUUAGGCACAAAGUAAAAAAAGCUGAAUGAACAUCCUUAUUUCUGCCCUGGGUUGAUGUAAGCUGCCUGCACCCCAUUUCAAUCUCUUUACAGUAGAAACAAAAUCCAAAACUGAGUAGAAAAAUGUCUCACUGUGAUUCGACACAUACAUACGAGUCAAAGAUAUCGAUGCGUUUGGAGGACGAGACAGAGACAGCUCAGUAGGAGUGUGCUUUCACUCUGACUUGCCUUCCUGUUGACGACAUCAAGCCUGCUCCGGCAUGCUCUCCAUACUGUGAAAAACAAAGUGAACAAGAAAAACAGUGCUGCCUGUAAUUCUGAUCCUUUUUGUAAGAAAUCUGAAUAAAAAAACUUAGCAGA
This is a long non-coding RNA of Oreochromis niloticus (Nile tilapia), 4355 nucleotides long. RefSeq lists it as uncharacterized. Lineage: Eukaryota; Metazoa; Chordata; Actinopteri; Cichliformes; Cichlidae. The transcript has 3 exons. The record is from RefSeq and is a predicted model, not a curated record.